RNAcentral lists this unclassified non-coding RNA (193 nucleotides) under uncultured Agaricomycetes. RNAcentral describes it as "sequence contains ITS2". The record is from RNAcentral. Lineage: Eukaryota; Fungi; Basidiomycota; Agaricomycetes.
AGUCUCAAAGCAGCAUCGGUUGAUGUGGCUUUUGGAUGGUGGGGGCUUUCUUUUUGCGGGCUUUCGAAUGUGAAGUCGGCUCCCCUGAAAUGCAUUAGCAGUAUCUAAAGGCGAUUACCGCAGGCAUGAUAAUUAUCUGUGCCUCUUGGGUAUGCCUCAUAUGACACCGCUACUAACCUUCUAGUAUGACCAA